Molecule: long non-coding RNA, 663 nt
Filed under: Salvia miltiorrhiza (redroot sage)
Lineage: Eukaryota; Viridiplantae; Streptophyta; Magnoliopsida; Lamiales; Lamiaceae
Description: long non-coding RNA (SMIL_LNC001669)
Source: RNAcentral
UUCUUCACACACGAGUUCGCGGGAGAGCAGGCGAGUUUCCUUCGGCCAACGGACUCCCUCUUUCACUCACAGCCGCUGCUCGACUUCCCUGCUGCCAUACUUGAACAAGUUUCAGUUCAUUUGAGACUUCAUUAACAGGAGAGAAAGAGCUGCCCAACUUCCGCCAAAUCCUCAAGGUAAGCUUCGGCUUGAACGUUUCCACCUCCUUCCAUAACCUCCACCUGCAUUUUAAAGCAAUAACACCUUCAUCGUAUUUCAGUUAUUCCCCAUCUCAAUCCAACAACACCAGACAGCCAACAAAGCAAAACACUCAAGGUAUUAUUACUAUUUCAUACUCAAUUUAGCCGCACUCACAUGGAGUACAUGGUCAGUUAAGAAACACCAUAAAUAGGAGAAUAAGCAUGAUAGACAAGCAAUACCAAUGUAUAGUAUGAGGAUGUGCAUAAGUCAGUUUACUUCCAUCAAGAACCAACAACAGCCUAUGACCUUUAUACAAGCUAAAUGCAGUAAGGAUUUCCUUGAUACAACAGCAAGUUCAGUGCGUAGUGCAAUUUAUUGCAUAACCCUUAUAUGAAAACCAAGACUUCACGGUAGAGCUAUAGAUUGCCUUAGCUUUUAGAGAGGGCGGGGGCUACUGCCCUGUUUGUUCGGGCCGAAGAACGU